Molecule: long non-coding RNA, 309 nt
Filed under: Callithrix jacchus (white-tufted-ear marmoset)
Lineage: Eukaryota; Metazoa; Chordata; Mammalia; Primates; Cebidae
Description: lncRNA (ENSCJAG00000085109.1)
Source: RNAcentral
GGAAGGAAGUUCCUCUCACAUUGAAAAUGGAAAUUUUAUUGGAGAACGAAAUGCAUUCAUCUGUUCCCCAGAAGCAUCCAUUUUCAGCACAUGGAUUGCUAUUUCUGAAUAGGAUGCCAGCUGUGUGCCAUACAUGCUGUUGACGAGAGAAGAUUCUGCUUUGAAACCUAAGGUUGGUGUCAUAUCACCAGAAGAUCAACCAACCUGGAAGGCUAAGAGUGUCAUUUAUUGUAAAAGACUGGAUGAACCAUGGAGGGAAAGACAAAGGGAGCUGUGAAGCAGAGAGCUGAAGAGAACUCCAAAGUGACU